RNAcentral lists this ribosomal RNA (253 nucleotides) under uncultured bacterium. RNAcentral describes it as "partial 16S ribosomal RNA". It matches the Rfam family "Bacterial small subunit ribosomal RNA", at positions 524 to 776 of the family's 1533-position model. The record is from RNAcentral.
UACGGGGGGGGCAAGCGUUGUUCGGAAUUACUGGGCGUAAAGGGCGCGUAGGCGGUCUGCUAAGUUGGAUGUGAAAACUCUGGGCUUAACCCAGAGCCUGCAUUCAAUACUGACAGGCUAGAGUUCUGGAGGGGAUAGCGGAAUUCCUGGUGUAGCGGUGAAAUGCGUAGAUAUCGAGAGGAACACCUGCGGCGAAGGCGGGUUGCUGGGCUGACACUGACGCUGAGGCGCGAAAGCUAGGGGAGCGAACGGG